This 63-nucleotide transfer RNA is filed under the name Phyllodromica sp. Phil. RNAcentral describes it as "tRNA-Glu". The record is from RNAcentral. Lineage: Eukaryota; Metazoa; Arthropoda; Insecta; Blattodea; Ectobiidae.
AUUUAUGUAGUUUAAUUAAAACAUUACAUUUUCAUCGUAAAAAUAAAAGAAAUUUCAUAAAUA